Molecule: long non-coding RNA, 5862 nt
Filed under: Homo sapiens (human)
Lineage: Eukaryota; Metazoa; Chordata; Mammalia; Primates; Hominidae
Description: non-protein coding lnc-SLC37A4-1:29
Source: RNAcentral
CCCGCCUCUGUUCAGGUAGGAGGCGGUAUGCGGGGGAGGGGAGUCACCUGAGGGCGGGGAUCUCAGGUCUUGGGGAGCCAUUGUUGGCGAACCCCAACUUCCGAUACGACCCGGAGCUGUUCCUGCAGUUCCAGAGACAAUUCAUGGGUCUUGGGGCCACCGAGGCGCUGUCCCUGACCACCAGCACGAGACCCCUUUCUAUCGCGCCAGUCCUGUGGUCUCCGCACCUCUCCAGCUCCUGCACCCCCGGCCCCCGUGGUUCCCAGCCGCACAGUAGCGUGUCCUGGGUAGCGUGAGGACCCACGGGGCUGGGCAGGUGCCACGAGCCCGCCGCCUCUUCGCCGCCCGCCGCCUCUCCUCCUCUCCCGCCCGCCGCCUGGCCCUCCCCUACCAGGCUGAGCCUCUGGGUGCCAGAAGCGCGGGGCCUCCGGGAGAAUACGUGCGGUCGCCCGCUCCGCGUGCGCCUACGCCUUCUGCUCCAGUUGCUUUCCCAAUUGAGCGGAAAAGCCGGGGCAUGUUGCCGGGGCCCUGGGCGGGACGGUUGUGCCCUGCAGCCCGAAGCCCGCCGGGGCACCUUCCCGCCCACGAGCUGCCCAGUCCCUCUGCUUGCGGCCCCUGCCAACGUCCCACAGGUUGGAAACCAGACCCUGCAGCCCCCAGCUAGCCCGAAGGAAGCCCAGACUGACGUCGCAGGGUAAUGGGGACCCAGAGGUAGCUCUGUGGGGCCCCAUCAGGACCUCAGCCCUUAGCGGGGCUUUCUGUGUGACACCGUGGGACCUGAACUGGGGAGGUCCCCCUUGCACAGAAUUACAAGGGGCAACUGUAGGAAACAAUUAAAUCUAUUAUGUGCUAAGUAUUGAGAGUUCCACGGAUUGAGGCCCUCUCUAGAAGGCUUAGAAGUGGGGUAGCCGGGGUAUGUGUCUGACUUUGUGUUUUGGUGCGGUGGUGGUGAGUGGGUGUAGAAACUAAUAGUGCCAAGUGCAGUGCCUGUCAACUAGUAAGUUAAUAAACCUUCCGUGAAUGAAUGAGAAGGUUCUGUGACUGAGGGAGCAGGGCUAGAGAGGGCAUCUCUGCUCAUCCCACCCCUGCCUCCCCUGGGCUCAGGCAGACAAAAGUAAUUAGGUUGAACCUUUAAUCAAAGCUGGUUUCACAGGCAAGCAGACAUGAUAGAGGAGGUAAAGGCAGAAAUCCUGGGGACACAGGGUGCUGGCCUGGCUCACAGGCAUGCCUCCUUCCGGGACCUCCUCCACCCCCUACAGUUUGGCGCUCAGUAAUCUCUUGUUUUCUUGUCUCCCUCAGGACACUGGGUCCCCUUGGAGCCUCCCCAGGCUUAAUGAUUGUCCAGAAGGCGGCUAUAAAGGGAGCCUGGGAGGCUGGGUGGAGGAGGGAGCAGAAAAAACCCAACUCAGCAGAUCUGGGAACUGUGAGAGCGGCAAGCAGGAACUGUGGUCAGAGGCUGUGCGUCUUGGCUGGUAGGGCCUGCUCUUUUCUACCAUGGCAGCCCAGGGCUAUGGCUAUUAUCGCACUGUGAUCUUCUCAGCCAUGUUUGGGGGCUACAGCCUGUAUUACUUCAAUCGCAAGACCUUCUCCUUUGUCAUGCCAUCAUUGGUGGAAGAGAUCCCUUUGGACAAGGAUGAUUUGGGUGAGCCCUGAAACAGCAGGGUGGUGGACCUGGGGACACAGAACCAGCCAGACACACUGGGUGUUUGUGUACAGGCAUGUGGUGUGGGUGGAUUGUCUGCACAGUAGAGGCCAGGGGCCAGUCUGCAUAUGCCAGAUAAAGAAGCUCUGAGAUCCAUGGACAUGGGUGCCUGCGGGGCUAAGGAGGGCUGCUUAUUUGACGUGUGUGUGCAUGCCCUGGAGGCACUGUUUAUUCCGAGAGUGUUUGAGGGGCUUCUGAGCAUGGUUUUCACACCUGUGUGGGUGCAUGUGGAGGCUUCAGGGUGAGUGCUGGCUACUGACACUGUGAGCACUGGGAACUAAAAAGUUGGCACAACGACUUCAUGUGGCCUGGCAUGCUACCCUUCAGGAGGGACAAGGUCCCUGACUCCAAUCCUGAGCCCUUUGCCCCAUGUUGGGUGGUGGAGCAACAGAACUGCUAGAGGCCCGGGACUGGCAUCCAGAGUGAGGUGGGAAAUCCCAUAUGCAAAUCCCAGGGAGGGGGAACUGCCACGUCCUGCUCCCUUUUUGUUCCCUGACAACUGUAGCUGAGAAUCAUGGGUCAGUCUGGGGCUAGUGCCGAUGGUGAGGCAGGAGAAGUGGCCGAAGUAGUAGGGCCCCAUGAGUGUCAGAUUGCAGCACAGGCUCCUCCUGUUCCUCUGGGAAGUAACCUGUCUCACCCCACUGGGCACCCCUGCACACCUGACCCCAUGCCUUCUUUCAUUGCUCCUGUGUUUCUCCCCUGGUCCCUAACCCCUAAGUGUAAUGUUCCCUGCAGGGUUCAUCACCAGCAGCCAGUCGGCAGCUUAUGCUAUCAGCAAGUUUGUCAGUGGGGUGCUGUCUGACCAGAUGAGUGCUCGCUGGCUCUUCUCUUCUGGGCUGCUCCUGGUUGGCCUGGUCAACAUAUUCUUUGCCUGGAGCUCCACAGUACCUGUCUUUGCUGCCCUCUGGUUCCUUAAUGGCCUGGCCCAGGGGCUGGGCUGGCCCCCAUGUGGGAAGGUCCUGCGGAAGGUGAGUGCUUCCAAAGAGCCUGUUUGGAUUGUCAUAGAGGAUGCCUAAAGAGCAUGUGGGAGCGCCCUUUCUUACCCACCACCUCCACACCCAACCCAGAGCAGGUUCCUGAGCAGUUCCUGGCCAGCUCCUAUUGCUUGUCAAGAUAUUUUAGGAGGCUGAGAGUGGUGGGAUCAGGUGGCAGAGGAGGAAACUGCCCUGCCAAACAGAAGCGCCCUCUCCCUCUUCCCUGUAAUGUGAGCUUCUGGGGCUGCCCCAUCUGACCCCACCCUCAACAUGGGCAGUAGGCUGGACACCUACGUGUCGCCCUCUGCCCCACAGUGGUUUGAGCCAUCUCAGUUUGGCACUUGGUGGGCCAUCCUGUCAACCAGCAUGAACCUGGCUGGAGGGCUGGGCCCUAUCCUGGCAACCAUCCUUGCCCAGAGCUACAGCUGGCGCAGCACGCUGGCCCUAUCUGGGGCACUGUGGUGUGGUUGUCUCCUUCCUCUGUCUCCUGCUCAUCCACAAUGAACCUGCUGAUGUUGGACUCCGCAACCUGGACCCCAUGCCCUCUGAGGGCAAGAAGGGCUCCUUGAAGGAGGAGAGCACCCUGCAGGAGCUGCUGCUGUCCCCUUACCUGUGGGUGCUCUCCACUGGUUACCUUGUGGUGUUUGGAGUAAAGACCUGCUGUACUGACUGGGGCCAGUUCUUCCUUAUCCAGGAGAAAGGACAGUCAGCCCUUGUAGGUAAGAUGAGCAUGGGGACAAGGGUGGGCAUAAGGAGCAGGAACCAAUGCAGGGGAUGCAAAUUCAGGCCUUGCUUCCAUUUAUCCUCUUUAUUCGUUCCUUGAGGCCGGGCGCUACUCAGGCAGCUAUGGCCAGUCACCUAUGGGAACCCUGUACCUCUCCAGGUUUAAGCCAUUGUGGGACAACCCCAAUGUGUAACACCCUCCCACCCUUCCCUUCCCUCUUCCCACCACAACUCCCUACUGCAGGUAGCUCCUACAUGAGUGCCCUGGAAGUUGGGGGCCUUGUAGGCAGCAUCGCAGCUGGCUACCUGUCAGACCGGGCCAUGGCAAAGGUGAGCGGGCAGAAGGGACAGGAAGGAGAAGGGUCCCUUUCAGUCUUCACGGCGUGGCUGGGACAGGCACUGGAGAGAUGGGAGUCCCAGGGCACAGGCAGGUUGGCAUCUGCUGGUUUAGACCGGGUGAAGAGGGAAUGAUUCCAGGCUGGUCUUAGCUUUCCUACGGUUGUGGAAGUAAGGCUCUUGGGUAGAGUUUUAACUGAUGUGAAGGACAGCCAGAAUAUUUCUUAGCUUAGCUGUAGGUUGCUCCACAGCCCCAGGAAAAUGGGCUGGGAACAGACUAGGUGCCCUCCCCAGCACGUGUCCUAGUCCUGCCUGACGGGGGAGGAGGGGAUGUUGUAGAGUUUGGCCUCAGAAUGUAAUGAGCAGGUCCCAGGGCCUCCCAGAGCUGCCCAGGGCCAAGAACUGUGGUGGGAUUGCCAAAGACCCGUCAGCAGAGGCCCUGCUGUGUCAGAGUCCAGGGGUGGGUGUUCUCUGCCCUGUUCUGAGGACGUGACAUUGCCGGGACUGUAUCCAUAGGCGGGACUGUCCAACUACGGGAACCCUCGCCAUGGCCUGUUGCUGUUCAUGAUGGCUGGCAUGACAGUGUCCAUGUACCUCUUCCGGGUAACAGUGACCAGUGACUCCCCCAAGGUAAUUAAGAAAGGCCUGGCUCACGGCAGGGCACAAGGAGAGAACGCAAGGGCCACUGACUCUGUCUCCCUCUCCUGGCUUCAGCCUGGGCCAAUCUUUUCUUCGCCUCUCAGAUACCCUUUUCAGUUCUGAUUGGACCGUUCCUCUGUGUCUGGGUUCUCCUCCUCCACUCUGGGCCUGGUUUUCUUUUCUUCCCUGUGCUCCUCUAGGAUGUUGCUUUCUGGACUCUGGCUCUUCACCCUCUCGCGGAGCUCACAGGCUUUACAGAGCAUGAGGUGCCUUAAAGAUAUCUCUGGUUUUUCUCCUGGUCUGUCUCACCUUUGUCCUACCCUUCUGCCUUACCCCUAGCCAAUCCAGUUUGUGUAAAUCCUGAGGACAGCCUCUAGCUCAGAGGGAUGACUUCUGUACCUCCUUUCCUUGCCCACCUAGGUCCCUGGGUUUGCUCAAUGUGGCAUCUCCUACUCUAGCUCUGUAUUGUCAGUUGUGUUGGGGAGUGGAAGGAAAAGAAUCACUUACUUACUGUCCUUUUAUGACUACUGUUUGUUUCUGGGGACCAAGCCUUCUUCUUGCUUUGGCAGGGGUGGGUAGGCAGGUCGGCUUUCCGACUCUGAAUGCCACUCCACUCUGCCCUUGGCAGCUCUGGAUCCUGGUAUUGGGAGCUGUAUUUGGUUUCUCCUCGUAUGGCCCCAUUGCCCUGUUUGGAGUCAUAGCCAACGAGAGUGCCCCUCCCAACUUGUGUGGCACCUCCCACGCCAUUGUGGGACUCAUGGCCAAUGUGGGCGGCUUUCUGGCUGGGCUGCCCUUCAGCACCAUUGCCAAGCACUACAGUUGGAGCACAGCCUUCUGGGUGGCUGAAGUGAUUUGUGCGGCCAGCACGGCUGCCUUCUUCCUCCUACGAAACAUCCGCACCAAGAUGGGCCGAGUGUCCAAGAAGGCUGAGUGAAGAGAGUCCAGGUUCCGGAGCACCAUCCCACGGUGGCCUUCCCCCUGCACGCUCUGCGGGGAGAAAAGGAGGGGCCUGCCUGGCUAGCCCUGAACCUUUCACUUUCCAUUUCUGCGCCUUUUCUGUCACCCGGGUGGCGCUGGAAGUUAUCAGUGGCUAGUGAGGUCCCAGCUCCCUGAUCCUAUGCUCUAUUUAAAAGAUAACCUUUGGCCUUAGACUCCGUUAGCUCCUAUUUCCUGCCUUCAGACAAACAGGAAACUUCUGCAGUCAGGAAGGCUCCUGUACCCUUCUUCUUUUCCUAGGCCCUGUCCUGCCCGCAUCCUACCCCAUCCCCACCUGAAGUGAGGCUAUCCCUGCAGCUGCAGGGCACUAAUGACCCUUGACUUCUGCUGGGUCCUAAGUCCUCUCAGCAGUGGGUGACUGCUGUUGCCAAUACCUCAGACUCCAGGGAAAGAGAGGAGGCCAUCAUUCUCACUGUACCACUAGGCGCAGUUGGAUAUAGGUGGGAAGAAAAGGUGACUUGUUAUAGAAGAUUAAAACUAGAUUUGAUACUG